Molecule: ribosomal RNA, 468 nt
Filed under: uncultured bacterium
Lineage: Bacteria
Description: partial 16S ribosomal RNA
Rfam family: Bacterial small subunit ribosomal RNA
Source: RNAcentral
GACGAACGCUGGCGGCGUGCUUAACACAUGCAAGUCGAACGGAAAGGCCCUGCUUUUGUGGGGUGCUCGAGUGGCGAACGGGUGAGUAACCCGUGAGUAACCUGCCCUUGACUUUGGGAUAACUUCAGGAAACUGGGGCUAAUACCGGAUAGGAGCUCCUGCUGCAUGGUGGGGGUUGGAAAGUUUCGGCGGUUGGGGAUGGACUUGCGGCUUAUCAGCUUGUUGGGGGGGUAGUUGCCUACCAAGGCUUCGACGGGUAGCCGGCCUGAGAGGGGGACCGGCCACAUUGGGACUGAGAUACGGCCCAGACGCCUACGGGAGGCAGCAGGGGGAAAUAUUGCACAAUGGGCGGAAGCCUGAUGCAGCAACGCCGCGUGCGGGAUGACGGCCUUCGGGGUGUAAACCGCUUUCGCCUGUGACGAAGCGUGAGUGACGGUAAUGGGUAAAGAAGCACCGGCUAACUACGUG